Chelonia mydas (Green sea turtle) is the source of this 106-nucleotide non-coding RNA. Lineage: Eukaryota; Metazoa; Chordata; Testudines; Cheloniidae. The record is from Rfam.
GUCUUCCUUCCACAGCGCAUGUACUGACAUUGGAAUGAUACAGAGUAGAUUAGCGUGGCCCCUGCGCAAGGAUGAGAUGCAAAUUUGUGAUGCGUUUCCAUGCCUG